Non-coding RNA from Electrophorus electricus (electric eel), 487 nucleotides. The record is from RefSeq and is a predicted model, not a curated record. NCBI's taxonomy places the organism in Eukaryota, Metazoa, Chordata, Actinopteri, Gymnotiformes, Gymnotidae.
AAAGCAAAGAGAUCAUGUGACAAUCAGCGCCACAUGAGGUGGAAACAUCGAUGAAGGGGACCUGUAACAUCUAUCUGAGCUGCACUGCCUGUUAGCAGGUUUCCUUCCAGUGGGAAGCUAUAUGUCUGCAUAUGCUGACAUCUGAAAGAAAUGCACUGCUCACAGCACUCUGACCUGCUGUCUCUUUGGAAUGUUCCAGUUAUGGGAGCCACAGUAGAUCAGCUCAUAUUAGUCUGAACUCUGCAACCCUCAGGUGAAGACCAUGGUUCACGACAACAUCAUUUAUCAUUUAUAGCUCAUUUAAAAUUCUUCCUCAGUGCCUUUCCCAUCACCAAAGAUUUAAUUUGCGCUUUUAUAGUGCUUUGGUUGUUGCAAUACAAUAAGUGGAUUUUCAUUAUUUGUCUGAGAACAAUCAAAAGGUUUCUAUAGGUUUAGUUUACUUCAUCAGUUUAGGUGCCUGGUUUAGCAGCUGUUGCUUUUAACAUGA